This 74-nucleotide transfer RNA is filed under the name Ignavibacteriota bacterium. RNAcentral describes it as "Ignavibacteriae bacterium tRNA-Met". It matches the Rfam family "tRNA". From Rfam's summary of the family: Transfer RNA (tRNA) molecules are approximately 80 nucleotides in length. Their secondary structure includes four short double-helical elements and three loops (D, anti-codon, and T loops). Further hydrogen bonds mediate the characteristic L-shaped molecular structure. tRNAs have two regions of fundamental functional importance: the anti-codon, which is responsible for specific mRNA codon recognition, and the 3' end, to which the tRNAs corresponding amino acid is attached (by aminoacyl-tRNA synthetases). tRNAs cope with the degeneracy of the genetic code in two manners: having more than one tRNA (with a specific anti-codon) for a particular amino acid; and 'wobble' base-pairing, i.e. permitting non-standard base-pairing at the 3rd anti-codon position. RNAcentral also lists the same sequence under 6 other names. Lineage: Bacteria; Pseudomonadati; Ignavibacteriota. The record is from RNAcentral.
ACCGGAGUAGCUCAGCUGGUUAGAGCGUCGGAAUCAUAAUCCGUAGGUCGGGGGUUCAAGUCCCUCCUCCGGUA